RNAcentral lists this long non-coding RNA (2728 nucleotides) under Cinara cedri. Lineage: Eukaryota; Metazoa; Arthropoda; Insecta; Hemiptera; Aphididae. The record is from RNAcentral.
AUAUUCCUGACUACGGAUUAACGGCCAAUCAUAUGAUGUUUCCCCUUAUCGCUCAAAACGUCAGCCCGUGGCGACGUGUGUCACGAACGUCUCGGCGCUCCGCUACUUAGUUUGCUCGUCCAUUUUUCGUUUCGUCUCUAGACCUCUUCACGAGACUUUGUCAUCAUACAUUACCAUGAUACCAUCAUAAUUCGUAAAUCAUACGGUCAUUUAAUACAAUUUUAUUCGUCUAAAACACUCCCGUACUGUGCGGGUUUGCAUAUUUUCUGCCAAUAAAAAUGGUCGCAUACCUUGGCAUGUUUCCUGUCCUGAUGGUGCCUCAAACGAACUAAUGGAGUGAGUCCCGACCUGGUCCGCUGGGCGAACAUCCUCGGGCGAGAUGAUUGGUAAUAUAUAUAUAUAUAUAUAUAUAUAGUUUAAUAAUUGGCCGAUACCCCGUUUAGUUAGGUAGUUUUAAGUUGCUUUAGUUAAUGUCCCUCGUUUAAAUACUUUGUUUAAAAUGUUUUUUUUUUCUCCCGAACAAUCGUUUGUUCAAUAUCAUGCACACACUUCCCAACACAAUAUUUUCCCGUUUGUAUACGCGUCCUACAGUCCGCGUUGUGUAUGUUAAAGCCGUGUAUGAUAUAAUAUUUCGUCUAAGUUAAAUUCUUUCGUUAUACCUACGGGGAUCAAUCAGCGUUUAUCAAGUUUGUGCGUCCGUCUCAAUGCAGUAAUCCCCGCGUUCCACAUCCUAUGUGCAAUAGGCGAACACCCCCCCCCCCCCCCGCAUUUUUUAUUUUUUAUUUUUUGUAUCCCCUUUUGGGCCCUCAGCUUCAUAACCACGUGUGUGUGUGUGUGUGUGUAUAUUUAAAAAAAUCUAUAUAAUAUCGAUCGAUUUCCCCAUCUCGCGAUCCAUGUUCGGACCCACCCCGCAGGUUAACCCGUACGGCCACCAUAACCACGGACCAAUCUGGAAUAAAAGCUUUCAGCUACCCUUCCCGGUUGUAAUAUGUGUGAUCUGGCGAACAUCACAUCCCUGCUGUGGUCUCCCAAUAUAUUUAAUUUGUGUCCACGAAAUUCCACGUGGAGGUCCGUCUCUAAAUAUAUAUGUAUCGCUCUACGAAACAUGCAUAUUAUUUGAUACGUUAUUUUUGAUACCUUGGGUUAAAUUAUUAAUUUUUAUUUAGAGGUUUCUAUUUCUUUUUAAAUAAAAUCAGUCCAUGUUACUCUCUGAUAAUGUAGCUUUUUUAAGGCGAAAGAAAUUUUAAAAUCAGUAGUUUUUGAGCUUAUUUAUUACUAACAAAUAUUUUCUCAUUAUAAUAUUAGACUAUAGGUAUAACUGUAAAUUAUAAUUACAUAGCGUGUGGUUGGUGUACUUAUAUGCUUAAUCGACGAUAGAAUCCUUGUGAAUAAAACAUAAUAAAAUACUUAUAAAACAGAAAAUGAAUAAGUAUAUUAUAAUAUUUUUUAUAAUACGUCCUUGCGGUUCUAUUUGCCCACAUAGUCUAAUUAUUGGCGUAGUCGCCGUUUGCCUUUCUACCUAGUAACAAUAUUUUAAUCCCAAUAUUCGUUCACACAAUCAUUUAUAGUAGUAAAAACAUAAUAAUGUGUUAAAUUUUAAAAUCGUAUGUUAUCAUUUUGUGGCGUAGGUAAAGGUACUUUAUACAACUGCAUUGUUAUUCGAUAUUUUUCUUAAUUUUAGAAUUUUUAGACAUAUCCAUUGCAAUAUUAACUUUUUCAUAAAAUUUGUUUGAACAUUUUCGAAUUUUAAUUAAUAUAAAUAUCUUAUGUGUUGCGUGUUCAUUUUGUUUUCAUAAGUUUUUUGAAAUCAUGAUUAUACGUUGUUAAAGCAAUUAACAACUCCGUUAAAUGAUCAUUCAUUAAAAUUGAGUGAUAUUUAGUUUUUAUUAUUUUCAUUGCUGCGUUCAAAGACUCGCAAGAAUAUGUUGUUCCAAAAAUUCUCCACAUUUUAUUACAUACUUUGGUAUCUUAUCUUAUCUACGAUAAUCAUAUGCAUACACACACACACAUAUAUAUAUAUAUAUAUAUAUAUAUAUAUGUAUAUAUUAAUAUGACCUUAUUUUCAUUUCAGCUCUUUAUUAUUUAUAUAUUGGACGGUUUGCGAGUCUCUUCUCGCUGGCCACCCACCCCUGUUAUAUAGUUAUCAAAUUUUAAUAUUUUAACCGAAACGCAUAAUUAUAUAGACACUCAUCAAAAAUUAGUAUUAAAAAAAUAAAAUAAGGAAAAUAAAUAUUUCAAUAAAAAAAAAAAAAAAAAAAAAAAAAAAUAACAAACUCGUGUCCCAACAGCUAAGAAGCGUGGGACGGUUCUUCGAAUUGUGUACCAGGAGUGUAUGAAGUAGCAACGACCAUGUACCUAGUGUAACGGGGCAUCGCACUUUUAUCGUUAAAGUGCUCGCCACCAAAUGGCGGUGGAGGUGAGGACCGACCGCAAUACCUGCGGCAGUUCUGCGACGAAUUACCAGGAACGCAUAAUAUUGAGUUGUGUCACUGCGUACUGCCGAACGUGGGAGGUGAGAAUAAUUUCUAGAAAAAAAAAGAAAGAAAAUAGAGAUACGAACAUUUUUCGCACGAUGGGUGGGCCACUGUUGAAGGUGAGAAGUUAAGAAGUUAGGAUCCGAGUAAUACAUGUUUAUAAAAUGUCAUUAGAAUAUAAAAUACAUAUUGUUUUAUUUAUAAAUUAUUCAUUAUUGUUUUAUAUAUUAAAUAAUAUAAUAUAAUUUAUAUAA